CCCUGCCCUUUGUACACACCGCCCGUCGCUACUACCGAUUGAAUGGCUUAGUGAGUCCCUCGGAUCGGCGACCGUCAGCUGGCAACAGCAGACGGACGCUGAGAAGUUGGGCAAACUUGGUCAUUUAGAGG
This 131-nucleotide ribosomal RNA is filed under the name Glomeraceae sp. RNAcentral describes it as "partial small subunit ribosomal RNA". It matches the Rfam family "Eukaryotic small subunit ribosomal RNA", at positions 1651 to 1779 of the family's 1831-position model. Lineage: Eukaryota; Fungi; Glomeromycota; Glomeromycetes; Glomerales; Glomeraceae. The record is from RNAcentral.